Molecule: ribosomal RNA, 440 nt
Filed under: uncultured bacterium
Lineage: Bacteria
Description: partial 16S ribosomal RNA
Rfam family: Bacterial small subunit ribosomal RNA
Source: RNAcentral
CCUACGGGAGGCUGCAGUGGGGAAUAUUGCACAAUGGGGGAAACCCUGAUGCAGCGACGCCGCGUGAGUGAAGAAGUAAUUCGUUAUGGAAAGCUCUAUCAGCAGGGAAGAAAAUGACGGUACCUGAGUAAGAAGCCCCGUCUAACUAGGUGCCAGCAGCCGCGGUAAUACGUAGGCGGCAAGCGUUAUCCGGAUUUACUGGGUGUAAAGGGAGCGUAGAGGGCAGUGCAAGUCUGGAGUGAAAGGCGGGGGCUCAACCCUAGGACUGCUCUUGAAACUGUAAGGCUGGAGUGCAGGUGAGGUAAGUGGAAUUCCUAGUGUAGCGGUGAAAUGCGUAGAUAUUAGGAGGAACCCCAGUGGCGAAGGCAGCUUACUAGACUGUAACUGACGUUGAGGCUCGAAAGUGUGGGUAGCAAACAGGAUUAGAUACCCUAGUAGUC